RNAcentral lists this ribosomal RNA (444 nucleotides) under uncultured bacterium. RNAcentral describes it as "SSU rRNA". It matches the Rfam family "Bacterial small subunit ribosomal RNA", at positions 26 to 518 of the family's 1533-position model. The record is from RNAcentral.
AGAGCGAACGCUGGCGGCAGGCCUAACACAUGCAAGUCGAGCGCCCCGCAAGGGGAGCGGCAGACGGGAGAGUAACACGUGGGAACGUACCCUUUGGUUCGGAACAACACAGGGAAACUUGUGCUAAUACCGGAUAAGCCCUUACGGGGAAAGAUUUAUUGCCAAAGGAUCGGCCCGCGUCUGAUUAGCUUGUUGGUGAGGUAACGGCUCACCAAGGCUACGAUCAGUAGCUGGUCUGAGAGGAUGAUCAGCCUCACUGGGACUGAGACACGGCCCAGACUCCUACGGGAGGCAGCAGUGGGGAAUAUUGGACAAUGGGCGCAAGCCUGAUCCAGCCAUGCCGCGUGGAUGAUGAAGGCCCUAGGGUUGUAAAGUCCUUUCGACGGGAAGAUAAUGACGGUACCCGUAGAAGAAGCCCCGGCUAACGUUCGCGCCAGCAGCCGC